GCCUUCGUGGUGUAAUGGUCAAUCAUACUCGGCGCGUAUUCGAGAGGUCCGUGGUUCGAGUCCCGGCAAGGGCA
Non-coding RNA from Stegodyphus mimosarum, 74 nucleotides. Lineage: Eukaryota; Metazoa; Arthropoda; Arachnida; Araneae; Eresidae. The record is from Rfam.